RNAcentral lists this transfer RNA (73 nucleotides) under Calypte anna (Anna's hummingbird). It matches the Rfam family "tRNA". Rfam says of the family: Transfer RNA (tRNA) molecules are approximately 80 nucleotides in length. Their secondary structure includes four short double-helical elements and three loops (D, anti-codon, and T loops). The record is from Rfam by way of RNAcentral. Lineage: Eukaryota; Metazoa; Chordata; Aves; Apodiformes; Trochilidae.
GUUUCUGUAGUGUAGUGGUUAUCACGUUCGCCUCACACGCGAAAGGUCCCCGGUUCGAAACCGGGCAGAAACC